RNAcentral lists this ribosomal RNA (253 nucleotides) under uncultured bacterium. RNAcentral describes it as "partial 16S ribosomal RNA". It matches the Rfam family "Bacterial small subunit ribosomal RNA", at positions 524 to 776 of the family's 1533-position model. The record is from RNAcentral.
UACAGAGGUCUCGAGCGUUAGGCGGAAUCACUGGGCUUAAAGCGUGUGUAGGCGGAUCGUUAAGUGCCUUGUGAAAUCCCACGGCUCAACCGUGGAACUGCUUGGCAUACUGGCGGUCUUGAGCAACCUAGGGGCGAGCGGAACAAAUGGUGGAGCGGUGAAAUGCGUAGAUAUCAUUUGGAACGCCAAUGGUGAAAACAGCUCGCUGGGGGUUUGCUGACGCUGAGGCACGAAAGCCAGGGGAGCAAACGGG